GAAGACUGCAGUUUUGCAUUGGUUGUGUUCAACAUUUACCAUCUGUCUUAUUUGUAAAAAUUUUUAUAAUUAGUAUUUUAUUGUUAUUAUAUGAUAAAACAUGAAUAAUACUUUAUGUGAAACUAUUUUUUUUAAUAAGAUGGACGAUCAAACUUGAACACGAAAAUACACGACUACACUUAAA
RNAcentral lists this microRNA precursor (184 nucleotides) under Oryza barthii. RNAcentral's name for it is "MIR812 microRNA precursor family". It matches the Rfam family "MIR812 microRNA precursor family". The record is from Rfam by way of RNAcentral. Lineage: Eukaryota; Viridiplantae; Streptophyta; Magnoliopsida; Poales; Poaceae.